AGAAUCAACGCUGGCGGCGUGCCUAACACAUGCAAGUCGAACGAGAAAGUGGAGCAAUCCAUUAGUAAAGUGGCGCACGGGUGAGUAACACGUGACUAACCUACCCUUGAGUGGGGGAUAACCUAGGGAAAACCUGGGCUAAUACCGCAUAAUACCUUCGGGUCAAAGGAGCAAUUCGCUUAAGGAGGGGUCGCGGCCGAUUAGUUAGUUGGCGGGGUAAUGGCCCACCAAGACGAUGAUCGGUAUCC
Molecule: ribosomal RNA, 248 nt
Filed under: uncultured bacterium
Lineage: Bacteria
Description: partial small subunit ribosomal RNA
Rfam family: Bacterial small subunit ribosomal RNA
Source: RNAcentral